ACGGGAGGCAGCAGUGGGGAAUUUUCCGCAAUGGGCGAAAGCCUGACGGAGCAAUACCGCGUGAGGGAAGACGGCCUAUGGGUUGUAAACCUCUUUUUUCAGGGAGGAAUCAAUGACGUGUACCUGAAGAAUAAGCAUCGGCUAACUCCGUGCCAGCAGCCGCG
RNAcentral lists this ribosomal RNA (164 nucleotides) under uncultured bacterium. RNAcentral describes it as "partial 16S ribosomal RNA". It matches the Rfam family "Bacterial small subunit ribosomal RNA", at positions 341 to 519 of the family's 1533-position model. The record is from RNAcentral.